CGGCGGACGGGUGAGUAACGCGUGGGUAACCUGCCUCCUACAGGGGGAUAACAGUUGGAAACGGCUGCUAAUACCGCAUAAGCGCACAGUACCGCAUGGUACCGUGUGAAAAACUCCGGUGGUAUGAGAUGGACCCGCGUCUGAUUAGGUAGUUGGUGGGGUAACGGCCUACCAAGCCGACGAUCAGUAGCCGACCUGAGAGGGUGACCGGCCACAUUGGGACUGAGACAUGGCCCAA
RNAcentral lists this ribosomal RNA (238 nucleotides) under uncultured bacterium. RNAcentral describes it as "partial 16S ribosomal RNA". It matches the Rfam family "Bacterial small subunit ribosomal RNA", at positions 96 to 334 of the family's 1533-position model. The record is from RNAcentral.